Molecule: long non-coding RNA, 4809 nt
Organism: Cyprinodon variegatus (sheepshead minnow)
Lineage: Eukaryota; Metazoa; Chordata; Actinopteri; Cyprinodontiformes; Cyprinodontidae
Exons: 3
Source: RefSeq, a predicted model, not a curated record
GUAGUCAGUUUGUGUCAUUAACAUCAAAGUCAGCCAGACCACCCCUGUGGUAAAUUAAUCUGGGUUCUUAUUUUCUCUUCCUUGCAUUACAGGAUGAUGAGGAGGGCAUUUGGGCAUAGCUGGAACAACCAAAGCUCUAAUGUUGAUUUUAGGGGAGAUGCAUUCGCUACUGGAGGAGCAUGGCCAUCCUAAGAUGUUGAAACACCACCCAAAUGAACAUUCACCAUCAUUAUUGAAUCUUAACUUCUGAACAGUGGGGCCUUUAUUUAUUUUAUUUUAUUACUUUUUCUUUGUUUUUGUUUUUUUCUGAGGAACAAGAGGAGGUACUCAGGUUUUCAGGUCCUGCAAGGAGACUGGCAGCUGAACAGGUGAGGUGAGGCCUUCGCUUUGUGUGAACAGGAAGACCAUCCUCCAAAUGAUGUGCCAAUGGAAGCACUGAGGACAAAUUACUGGUUUAACAGACAUGGCUACCAUGGCAACCCUGCAGUAGCGGUGUCAGAGAAGUCACCUCACCUGUCCAUCACCUGCUGAAUGACCCCUUUUUUCUCUCAUCAAACCAUGUUGAUUUUAAAAAUUGUCUUGCUGCCUCUUUAACCUAAAGCUCUGACCGGCUCGUAGGCCUGACUCUCAGUUUUGAUCUGACCCCUCAGCUUAUCCCUAAAAACCCUAAGAGUGUCUUCUGUUGUCUAUUUCAUAGACAACAGUUAUUUGAGAACUGGUCACACAUUAGGCAUUUCUUCCUCUAAUGAUGAUGUCUACAUUGACAAGCUUAUUAACACAUUUGAGUCACUUUAGAUUUUCUGUUGCAAUUCUUCGUUAGCACAAGGAAGAACUUAUGGAGCACCUUGAGGGACUGUGCAAACCACUGGUUUUAGGAUCAAGAUUAAGCUUCAAGGUAGUGGCUCCUAUCAGCAUUUUUUUCUCCACAUUACCUCAUUUCAGUUAUAAAUAGUAAAGAGAAAAUUAUCAGUCUAUGCAGAUAUCAACAUAGAGAGUGCAUUUUUAUUUUUCCAUGUAUAUUUAAAUAAAUUCCAAUUGUAUUAGACCAAUCAGAGCUGCCAAGAAAAGCGGUCAGAAGAUAUUCAUUGGAUUCUUUUGAUUUUUUUGAGACUAUGCACCUCCUCUGUGUUGACAGGAACUUUCACUUAUGGUGCUUCUGCUGGUGCUCAAACUAAAUGGUGUCAGAAGAUCUAAAUAGAGCAUCUUUUUGUCCUUUUACAUUAGAGGGACUUGCUCCCACAAUGGGCUUCAUAAACAACAGUACAAAACUGCUUUGUAUAUUAUAUGUACAGGUUAAAACGUGGGGCUUUGUGAACAACGAUCAAACAUUUUCUCAAGAAAUAUGACUACUAAAAGCCUCAGAAUAGACUGUGAAGCGAAGUAGAUGUUUUCUCUUCAGAUAAAAGUGAUUCCAGUAACACCCCAGCUUCACUAUAAGCCCUCUCCCUUCUUUCAUAUUCUUCCAGCAGUAGCCUGUAUGAUCUCCCCACAUAGUGACUUGUUUUCUCCUUCUCAACAAGGUGGUCUGUGCCUCGUCGAAUCUGUAUACAUAAGAUAGAUAUGCAUAUAUUAUACAUAUAGAGAUAUAUCUAUAGAGUGUGUCUAUAUGUGGUCAGAAAAAUAUUUCAAACUAAAAAGAUAUACUACAUUUUUUUAUGGUUAUUUUUAUAACUGGCUGGAAGUCAGAGAUAUUUCAUUUAGUUGUGAGAUUGUCCUCACAUUGUUAUGCUGUGAAUAAACCCUUCAGCAGCAAUUUAACAUUCCCUGUCUGGAAAUACAGACCAGCUCAGUAAAAGAAAUGAUUAUUCCAUAAAUUUCAGAACUUCACUUUAGGGGGAAUUCUACCCAAAUUUAUCUAAUGGUCUAGAAAAACUGUCAAUAUUACAUUCCUUUAAAGGGAUAGUUGGGAGUUUUUUUAAAUGGUUUCUGUGGAAUUGAUAUCAACAGUUGGACACUAAACUGUAAUUUACAGUAUACCUGACUGAAUAAGGUUAAAGUUGGAGCAGGACGUUAUUUCAAAUAAGAGCCAUGAUCACAACUCGUCUGACUGGUCCAGUUUCCCAGCUGUUUGUUCUGGCUUAUCAAUUACUUUUAUCAAAAACUUUACUGCAGUAUGUGUAAAUGCCAUCUAAUUAACUCUUACAUAAUAAAAAUUUUAUAAUAAACGUUGUUUUCCACAGACGUAUGUUAUUAUGUUUGCAGCAGGGUGUGUUUCUCUGAGUUUUUUUGUCAAUGAUGGCAUUUAAUUUUUAAUAGAAGAGGUAAUACAGAAAAAAAUAUAUAGUUAAAAUACUUUUUUUAAAUAAUCUAUGAACAAUUUACAGAGAUUGAAUUGAAUGCAACUUGGUUUAUAAUUUUACACAUUGUGUGGGUGUCGUAUAAGAUUUGUUUUUCAGGGGGGUACCUAAAUGUAGAAUUACUGUCAUACACAAUAUGCUUUUUGCUUUUUCUCAACCUACCUAAAAAAUAAUUUUCCCAUAAAGUCGGAACAUUUAGGGAAAAGCCCUAAAGGGCAAAAUAUUUGAUCGCCCCCUGUUUUCAACCCCUGCGUUAAUUCUGAAAUGUAGUUUUAUAUAAAUGCUUAGAAAAAAAGUAAUAAAUUUUGAGAUUGGAGUGAUUAACUUAACUUGUUGUUACUACAAGUUAAUUAUGUUUUUUUUUCUUUUUUUUUUUUUUUCUUUCAAUUACUUUGCACAAAGAAUCAGUGUGGUUUAGACAGCUUUUGUUCCCCUCAAUACAGCUUCAGAAACUCAUUUGACAAAAUAUUAUUUAUGUCCACUUUUCCUUAUUUGAUAAGAUUUUUUUCACAACCUGAGACAUUUAUGAAAGGCAAAAAAACACAAAAACAGGUCAUCUGUAAAAGUAAAUUAGCAAUGUAUUAUCCGACUGCUGAUAACAAUUGCCUGGAAUUCUAUUUAGACAAUUCCCAACAAUCGCUUUAACAUUAAAUCAGCUCAGUUGAAGACUUUAACCUGUGGUAACAAUUUUAAGUAAAUUUUUUUUUAUUAUUAUUUUGGGCUGUAGCUCUCACGGGUAGCAGUUAGAUUAUUUCUGCUGCACUCAGCAGGCAAGAGGCUUGCACUUGUAAAUGAGGACAGUAUCCUCCAAAAAGAGGUUUCAGUGACUCUGUCUGGAUGCAUUUCUCCUUUGUGUAUUUGUCGUUGUCAUGUAAACUGAAGUGGUGAUGUAUGUGUGACCAUAACAACUGAUUUAGGUAGAAAAACCAUCAUGUUGUUACAGUAUUAUGAGAAAGUGAAGCUGACUGUUACUAAUGCCCUCCUCCUUCCUUGACCCUACCGGUGUCUGUGUUGGUGUUUGUAAACAAACAUGUCUCCAUCUCCUCACACCAAGGUGAUUCACUAAUAAUUUUUUACGCCUAUGAUUCCCACUGAAGCAGCUCCUGUAACUGAACAAGAACCAACAGAUUACAGACUAUGUUGUUGUUUGUUUACAAAUGUUGAUUAAAAAGGCCUUUUUUUAUUGUUGGGAAAGAGCGCAGACAGACAGAGGAGCAUAAAUCCUCUUACUUCACCAUCAGGGGUGGAGUACUAAUCCUCCAUUUUCAGGUCCUUAUCUACUGAAUACUUGAAGUAGGGAGUUUUCCUACCAUGAUAUAGCAUACAUAAUUUAAAUAGUCGACAACAUGGAAUAUUUUAAUUGUGCCCAUGCAUGCUGAUUUUUACAUGAUGUGCCAAUUGAAGGUGAUGAUGUACGUUUAAUCUGCUGUACUCUAUGCAGUGAUUGCUCUAUUGUCGUGUCAAAAAAAAAAUAUUGAAAGAAAUAACUAAAAGCGAAAAAGACAUCGAACUUGAAGGUUGGGGAUUGCUUUCUGUACUCAGAUGAAAGGCAAUUAGGAAAUUCUUUAUCUGUGCCUAGAAACAGCUGUAUAAAUUCACUAGUCAUAUUUAAAAGGCCUUCAAAAGAGCUACAGAGAGCCAAGCAUACUUUUAUCUUUCUUUGCUAAAAACAAGUUUCUCUUUGUUGUUAUUUUGUUGCUGGAUAUUUUUGAUUGAACAGAUCACUGUGAUUAAUGCCAGAAAUGUCUUUAUUUUACAAAGCAAGCAUCAAGUUUUUAAUUUUUUUAUCAUAUUUUUUUUGUAUUUAAGUUAAGCUUUAUUUUUGCUAUGAUUUAGGCUUGUUUAGGAAUACCAGUUUGAGACAGUACCAUUUGUAUAGGUAAAUGUUUUGAGCUGUACAGUGACAGAUCUAGGAACAAUUCAAUGUGAGUCCAGCAUGCUGAAUGAUCAUUUGUGUGAAUGUGAGCUGCUACAGCUCAGUCCUCAUUCAUUACUUGCAUCCGCAUUGUGCAUUGUGACAUCGUGUUGGAGAGUGAAGUGUGUCUCACUUACUGUGUCCCCUUAGUAGACAGCCUGUGCAGUUUUGUGAGAGCGCAGCAUGUUUCUUUUCAGGUAAGGGCGUGUUGCUGGUGUAAUUGCAAUCAGAAAAAGAGGGCAAUGCGUGUGGGGUGUUUGUGUGUGAGUGCUGAUAACAGGGUGUGUGUUAUAAAUCAAAAAGAUCAAUUUAUUUAAAAGAGAAAAUUUUAUCAGUCUGUUUCAGAAAAGAUGUGGGCAAGCUUUGAAAGACGCAUGGAUAAUAUGUAUUGUUUUGUUUGCUUUUUUUAACAAUAGGAGGCUGUCCUUAGUGCCCCGGUUUGCUAUUGUCUGUGCUGUACCAGAAUAAUAAUAGUGAGUGUUGGCCAGCUUGUUUAUAUCCAUCAAAUAAAGUUGACUUUCUUUCUGUCUUUGUUGGUGAUUUCCUACUUGGUUUGCCUCAUUGUAUAUAGCCAUUGCAAAUCGGUUCAUUUUAUUU